This is a long non-coding RNA of Xyrauchen texanus (razorback sucker), 604 nucleotides long. RefSeq lists it as uncharacterized. The transcript has 3 exons. NCBI's taxonomy places the organism in Eukaryota, Metazoa, Chordata, Actinopteri, Cypriniformes, Catostomidae. The record is from RefSeq and is a predicted model, not a curated record.
CAGUUGCGCUCCAUUUGGCUGAUCUGAAACACAAUGAUGCAUCCUGUGUGGACUGAUCCGCUUGCUCUCGGCAAGAAAAUGUGUACAGGUCAAGAGGUGGUGAGGGUGGACAGCCAAACACCUUGACAUGGACACCUCACACCAACAGCUUGAUCAGUUUUCAAGACCUCUCUGGAGUACAUGGCUCGCCUCAAGUUUUUUCUUUCCAGCACUGUCAUAUUAUCAUCUACUGUCUCCUGAAACACAACAUGAUGGAGAAAUGAAUAUGGGUCAUUGACAAAUAAGGUUGUCCGAGAUGAUCAAAAUGAGAAAUAUUGUAAAAAGAACAGCCAAGUUUGUCUAAAUGUACAACGUAGAGGUCAGGGCAGGAAUUCUCUCUCUGAAAUAGUGCACAAUAAAUUUACCAUGGUUUUCAUAUAGAAACCAUAUUUUAACCGUGAUGUAUAUAUAGUAAAACCAUAGUAAUAAUACAGGAAAACCACAUACAUGAAUUCCCUUGAUUCAUCUAGAGUAAAAACAUGGUUACUUACUUUUCAUAGUAACUACAAUAUUACUAUAGUAAAACCAGUUAAGCUAUGAUAUUUGUAUAGUAAAACCAUAAUAA